RNAcentral lists this small RNA (272 nucleotides) under Staphylococcus aureus. RNAcentral describes it as "HMPRFS0000_2386". Lineage: Bacteria; Bacillati; Bacillota; Bacilli; Caryophanales; Staphylococcaceae. The record is from RNAcentral.
UUAGUUGAUUCUACUUCUGGUUUACUAGUUACAUCGUUAUCCAUUGUCGGACUGUUUGUUGAUGCAUCUACACUAGAAUUGUUAUUAGCUUGCGGUUUAUCAUUUGCAUCAUCAGUUGCUGAUGUUGCUGUUGUUUCACCUGUUGCCGCAUCACUAUUAUUUGGUGUUGUCGGAGAAGCGUCUGCUUUGCCAUUAUCUGUCGUCUCAGAUACGUUAGGUUGUCCAGUAUUUUCUGGUGUUGCAUUAGCAUUUGAAUUUGCUGUUGCAUCAUU